This is a non-coding RNA of Ictidomys tridecemlineatus (thirteen-lined ground squirrel), 645 nucleotides long. The record is from RefSeq and is a predicted model, not a curated record. NCBI's taxonomy places the organism in Eukaryota, Metazoa, Chordata, Mammalia, Rodentia, Sciuridae.
CUCCAACUGGGCACCCAGGGAUUCUGCUUCUCUUCAGUCCGACCCUUCUGGAACGUUCUCUUCUUCAGUGUGGGCUGGAGACCCCACUCUGUGGAAGCAGCUGCUAUUGUGUGCCUAGACCCAUAGGAGGCCCAUGUGGUAAGUGGCACCUGGGAGGAACUGAGGCCCGUCAAUGGUCUUGUGAGCUUGCAGUGGAUAAGCCCCAUUUGAACUUUGAGAUGACCACAGCUUCGGUCAACAUUUGAUUCCAGCCUGUGAAAGACACUGAGGAGAAGACCCAGUGUUUAAAAGGUGAUGAGAGGCCAGAUGGGAUGUGAUUGUAUGGGCAUGUAUGCCUCUACAGAGCUCCAAGAAUGUGGGUGCUCCAGAUGUAAGACUCCACUUCCACCAAGUUUCUCAAGAUAACUUACAGGAAACAAACCCAAGAGGAUGUCCAGGGACCAAGCUACACCAUUCCCAGGAAGACUGGCCAAGGCCAGGUGUCCCAUUUUCCUCCGCCCUAGGAAGCCUUCAGCUGUACUGCAGACUAGCUCUGGGCCUGGCGUAGUGGGAGACCUUCCCCUCGAGUUGGGGAAGAAGCAACCUCUCAGUCCCUGCUUUUGAGGUUCCAGAAAAUAAACAUGAAGCACAAAAAUUACCCACACU